UACGAAGGGUGCAAACGUUGCUCGGAAUCAUUGGGCGUAAAGCGCACGUAGGCGGCCUUGCAAGUCGGAUGUGAAAUCCCUCGGCUCAACCGAGGACGUGCAUUCGAAACUGCUUGGCUCGAGUAUGGAAGAGGGUCGCGGAAUUCCCGGUGUAGAGGUGAAAUUUCGUAGAUAUCGGGGAGGAACACCAGUGGCGAAGGCGGCGACCCUGGGGCCCCAUACUGACGCUGAGGUGCGGAAAAGCGUGGGGAGCAAACAGG
Molecule: ribosomal RNA, 260 nt
Filed under: uncultured bacterium
Lineage: Bacteria
Description: partial 16S ribosomal RNA
Rfam family: Bacterial small subunit ribosomal RNA
Source: RNAcentral